RNAcentral lists this ribosomal RNA (496 nucleotides) under uncultured bacterium. RNAcentral's name for it is "partial 16S ribosomal RNA". It matches the Rfam family "Bacterial small subunit ribosomal RNA", at positions 29 to 507 of the family's 1533-position model. The record is from RNAcentral.
AUGAACGCUGGCGGCGUGCCUAAUCCCUGCCAGUCGAGCGAACAGACGAGGAGCUUGCUCCUCUGACGUUAGCGGCGGACGGGUGAGUAACACGUGGAUAACCUACCUAUAAGACUGGGAUAACUUCGGGAAACCGGAGCUAAUACCGGAUAAUAUAUUGAACCGCAUGGUUCAAUAGUGAAAGACGGUUUUGCUGUCACUUAUAGAUGGAUCCGCGCCGCAUUAGCUAGUUGGUAAGGUAACGGCUUACCAAGGCAACGAUGCGUAGCCGACCUGAGAGGGUGAUCGGCCACACUGGAACUGAGACACGGUCCAGACUCCUACGGGAGGCAGCAGUAGGGAAUCUGCCGCAAUGGGCGAAAGCCUGACGGAGCAACGCCGCGUGAGUGAUGAAGGUCUUCGGAUCGUAAAACUCUGUUAUUAGGGAAGAACAAAUGUGUAAGUAACUAUGCACGUCUUGACGGUACCUAAUCAGAAAGCCACGGCUAACUACGUG